This 231-nucleotide long non-coding RNA is filed under the name Mytilus galloprovincialis (Mediterranean mussel). The record is from RNAcentral. Lineage: Eukaryota; Metazoa; Mollusca; Bivalvia; Mytilida; Mytilidae.
AUAUAUAUAUACCUAAAAGGAAGGUGUCAAACACGGAGCUGCGUUUGAUGACAAAUGAAAUAGGGUUUUAGCAGUUAAAGUACAAACAAUUGUUACAUUGUAUUUGCGGUUUUUAUAAUCAAUUUCUUUGAUAAUCGAAUUUCCAAAGCAUCCCUAACGGACUUACUCACUUUCACAAUUUCAUCAUGGCACGGGCCAAGAAAACAGUCAAGGUGAGAUUCUUUCUUAAUG